CCCCUAUUGUUAGUUGCCAUCAUUCAGUUGGGCACUCUAGCGAGACUGCCGGUAAUAAACCGGAGGAAGGUGGGGAUGACGUCAAAUCAUCAUGCCCCUUAUGACCUGGGCUACACACGUGCUACAAUGGUUGGUACAACGAGUUGCGAGUCGGUGACGGCGAGCUAAUCUCUUAAAGCCAAUCUCAGUUCGGAUUGUAGGCUGCAACUCGCCUACAUGAAGUCGGAAUCGCUAGUAAUCGCGGAUCAGCACGCCGCGGUGAAUACCGUUCCCGGGCCUU
This 280-nucleotide ribosomal RNA is filed under the name uncultured Streptococcus sp. RNAcentral describes it as "partial 16S ribosomal RNA". It matches the Rfam family "Bacterial small subunit ribosomal RNA", at positions 1102 to 1382 of the family's 1533-position model. The record is from RNAcentral. Lineage: Bacteria; Bacillati; Bacillota; Bacilli; Lactobacillales; Streptococcaceae.